CCUACGGGUGGCAGCAGUAGGGAAUCUUCCACAAUGGACGAAAGUCUGAUGGAGCAACGCCGCGUGUGUGAUGAAGGGUUUCGGCUCGUAAAACACUGUUGUAAGAGAAGAAUGACAUCGAGAGUAACUGUUCCGUGUGUGACGGUAUCUUACCAGAAAGGAACGGCUAAAUACGUGCCAGCAGCCGCGGCAAUCCGUAUGUUCCAAGCGUUAUCCGGAUUUAUUAGGCGUAAAGCGAGCGACGACGGUUAUUUAAGUCCGAAAUGAAAGCCCACAGCUUAACUGUGUAAGUGCUUUGGAAACUGGAUAACUUGAGUGCAGUAGAGGAGAGUGGAACUCCAUGUGUAGCGGUGAAAUGCGUAGAUAUAUGGAAGAACACCAGUGGCGAAGGCGGCUCGCUGGACUGUAACUGACGUUGAGGCUCGAAAUUGUGGGAAGCGAACAGGAUUAGAUACCCGAGUAGUC
This 465-nucleotide ribosomal RNA is filed under the name uncultured Weissella sp. Its description in RNAcentral is "bacterial SSU rRNA". It matches the Rfam family "Bacterial small subunit ribosomal RNA", at positions 338 to 795 of the family's 1533-position model. Lineage: Bacteria; Bacillati; Bacillota; Bacilli; Lactobacillales; Lactobacillaceae. The record is from RNAcentral.